This 253-nucleotide ribosomal RNA is filed under the name uncultured bacterium. RNAcentral describes it as "partial 16S ribosomal RNA". It matches the Rfam family "Bacterial small subunit ribosomal RNA", at positions 524 to 776 of the family's 1533-position model. The record is from RNAcentral.
UACGUAGGGUGCGAGCGUUAAUCGGAAUUACUGGGCGUAAAGCGUGCGCAGGCGGCUCAUUAAGACAGGCGUGAAAUCCCCGGGCUUAACCUGGGAACUGCGCUUGUGACUGGUGGGCUGGAGUGUGUCAGAGGGAGGUGGAAUUCCACGUGUAGCAGUGAAAUGCGUAGAGAUGUGGAGGAACACCGAUGGCGAAGGCAGCCUCCUGGUAUAACACUGACGCUCAUGCACGAAAGCGUGGGGAGCAAACAGG